This 460-nucleotide ribosomal RNA is filed under the name uncultured bacterium. RNAcentral describes it as "partial 16S ribosomal RNA". It matches the Rfam family "Bacterial small subunit ribosomal RNA", at positions 338 to 795 of the family's 1533-position model. The record is from RNAcentral.
CCUACGGGAGGCAGCAGUGAGGAAUAUUGGUCAAUGGGCGCGAGUCUGAACCAGCCAAGUAGCGUGAGGGAUGACGGCCCUAUGGAUUGUAAACCUCUUUUAUCGGGGAGUAAAAUACGCCACGCGUGGCUUUUUGCGAGUACCCGAAGAAAAAGCAUCGGCUAACUCCGUGCCAGCAGCCGCGGUAAUACGGAGGGUGCGAGCGUUAUCCGGAUUUAUUGGGUUUAAAGGGUGCGCAGGCGGAAGGUUAAGUCAGUCGUUAAAUUGCGGGGCUCAACCGUUUCAAAGCAGUGGAAACUGGUUGUCUUGAGUGAGUGGGAGGUAUGCGGAAUGCGUGGUGUAGCGGUGAAAUGCUUAGAUAUCACGAAGAACUCCGAUUGCGAAGGCAGCAUACCGGAGCGUAACUGACGCUGAUGCACGAAAGUGUGGGUAUCGAACAGGAUUAGAUACCCCUGUAGUC